RNAcentral lists this transfer RNA (86 nucleotides) under Pseudomonas aeruginosa. Its description in RNAcentral is "tRNA-OTHER". It matches the Rfam family "tRNA". Rfam says of the family: Transfer RNA (tRNA) molecules are approximately 80 nucleotides in length. Their secondary structure includes four short double-helical elements and three loops (D, anti-codon, and T loops). The record is from RNAcentral. Lineage: Bacteria; Pseudomonadati; Pseudomonadota; Gammaproteobacteria; Pseudomonadales; Pseudomonadaceae.
GGAGAGGUGGCCGAGUGGCCGAAGGCGCUCCCCUGCUAAGGAGUACACCUCAAAGGGUGUCGGGGUUCGAAUCCCCCUCUCCGCCA